CACUCUCACAUGGCCUACAAUGUUGCCUAA
This 30-nucleotide non-coding RNA is filed under the name Rattus norvegicus (Norway rat). Lineage: Eukaryota; Metazoa; Chordata; Mammalia; Rodentia; Muridae. The record is from RNAcentral.